Molecule: long non-coding RNA, 781 nt
Filed under: Dermacentor andersoni
Lineage: Eukaryota; Metazoa; Arthropoda; Arachnida; Ixodida; Ixodidae
Description: uncharacterized LOC126543071
Source: RNAcentral
UUGCUUUUUCUUGUGUGGCUUUUUUUAGUUUUCCAAACCGCCGCCGCGAACAGUGGCGCUAGUGCUCACCCCCACCUACCCCAAUCCCGUCGCCGGCCGCACGCACGAGCAGCAAGCAUUUUCAGCGAGAGCACGGAAGGACGCAAACGCACGCGCGCGAUACAAUCGAUUAGCUGAGUGCUUGGUGAUCUGUUGGUAUAGCUAGAUCUUGAUUACCAGAUUCUAUUUCAGUGACACUGAUUCUCAGCCCCGUAGGCGCCGGCUUUCGCGUUUGCGGCUUCUUCAUGCACGAUGGUUUACUUCUGCAUACCGUUGUGAAAGUCAAGCGGCCGAGCAUCAAGAGGAAUUUCAUUUCAUGAGUUCCCCGUGACCGAUAUUAGAAACCAAUGCUUAUAGUUAUGCUUUAUGAUUUAGCCUAUGAUUAUUCUUACGGUUUAGCUUAUGGUUAUGCUUUAUGAUUUAGCCUAUGGAUAUGCUUACGGUUUAACUUAUGGAUAUGCUUAUGGUUUAAGAGGAAGCUUUAGCUCGGGUGCUCCUAUCUAAAUACAUGUAAAAAGAGAAUUCAUUUUUCUCUGCAACCACUGCACCAAAUUUGACAAGGUCUGUUGCAUUUAAAAGAAAAACUUAAAAUCUAGUGACUGUUGGUUUCGAAUUUUCAAUUUAGGUCGUCAAUUUUUAAGAAAAAUUGGCAAGAAUCGCAAAUUUUCAGAAAACGAAACUAUCAAGUUUACAACUCAGUAACUCAGCAAGAAAAAAUGAUAUCGCAAUUCUGUGAAUUGUA